CCUACGGGAGGCAGCAGUGAGGAAUAUUGGUCAAUGGACGAGAGUCUGAACCAGCCAAGUAGCGUGAAGGAUGACUGCCCUAUGGGUUGUAAACUUCUUUUAUAUGGGAAUAAAACGUUCCACGUGUGGGAUUUUGUAUGUACCCUAUGAAUAAGGAUCGGCUAACUCCGUGCCAGCAGCCGCGGUAAUACGGAGGAUCCGAGCGUUAUCCGGAUUUAUUGGGUUUAAAGGGAGCGUAGGUGGAUUGUUAAGUUAGUUGUGAAAGUUUGCGGCUCAACCGUAAAAUUGCAGUUGAAACUGGCAGUCUUGAGUACAGUAGAGGUGGGCGGAAUUCGUGGUGUAGCGGUGAAAUGCUUAGAUAUCACGAAGAACUCCGAUUGCGAAGGCAGUUCACUGGACUGCAACUGACACUGAGGCUCGAAAGUGUGGGUAUCAAACAGGAUUAGAUACCCUUGUAGUC
Molecule: ribosomal RNA, 460 nt
Filed under: uncultured bacterium
Lineage: Bacteria
Description: partial 16S ribosomal RNA
Rfam family: Bacterial small subunit ribosomal RNA
Source: RNAcentral